UCCUUUUGUUAAAAAUUUAAGGUCUAGCCUGCCCAAUGAUAAUUUUAAUGGCCGCGGUAUUUUGACCGUGCUAAGGUAGCAUAAUCAUUAGUUUUUUAAUUGAAAGCUGGAAUGAAGGGUUGGAUGAAAAAAUUUCUGUCUCAUUUUAAUUUAAUUAGAAUUUUAUUUUUAAGUUAAAAAGCUUAAAUAUUUUUAAAAGACGAGAAGACCCUAUAGAGUUUAAUAAUAUAAUUAUAUUAUAAAUUUAGAAUUAAAAUUUUUAUUAUACUGGUAUUAUUUAAUUGGGGUGAUUGAAAAAUUUAAUAAACUUUUUUUUUAUUAGAAUAUAAAUUUAUAGAUAUAUGAUCCUAAAUUUUAGAUUAUAAGAAAAAAUUACCUUAGGGAUAACAGCGUAAUUUUAUUUGAGAGUUCAAAUCGAAAAUAAGGGUUGCGACCUCGAUGUUGGAUUAAAG
RNAcentral lists this ribosomal RNA (452 nucleotides) under Dibolia sp. IBE-JGZ-00983. RNAcentral describes it as "partial 16S ribosomal RNA". The record is from RNAcentral. Lineage: Eukaryota; Metazoa; Arthropoda; Insecta; Coleoptera; Chrysomelidae.